GAUGAACGCUAGCGGCAGGCCUAAUACAUGCAAGCCGGACGGCAAGUUGAGUAGCAAUACUUGACCUAGAGUGGCGUAAGGGUGCGUAACACGUAUGCAAUCUGCCCACAGCCGGGAGAUAGCCCUCCGAAAGGAGGAUUAAUAUCCCAUAGGAAGAUGAGAUGGCAUCAUUUUAUUUUUAAACUACGGGGCUGUGGAUGAGCAUGCGGUUGAUUAGCUAGUUGGCGGGGUAAAGGCCACAAGGCGAUGAUCAAUAGGGGACCUGGGAGGUGAUCCCCACACUGGCACUGAGAUACGGGCAGACUCCUAC
RNAcentral lists this ribosomal RNA (310 nucleotides) under uncultured bacterium. RNAcentral's name for it is "bacterial SSU rRNA". It matches the Rfam family "Bacterial small subunit ribosomal RNA", at positions 28 to 342 of the family's 1533-position model. The record is from RNAcentral.